Molecule: ribosomal RNA, 460 nt
Filed under: uncultured bacterium
Lineage: Bacteria
Description: partial 16S ribosomal RNA
Rfam family: Bacterial small subunit ribosomal RNA
Source: RNAcentral
CCUACGGGUGGCAGCAGUGAGGAAUAUUGGUCAAUGGACGAGAGUCUGAACCAGCCAAGUAGCGUGAAGGAUGACUGCCCUAUGGGUUGUAAACUUCUUUUAUAUGGGAAUAAAAUGUUCCACGUGUGGGAUUUUGUAUGUAACAUAUGAAUAAGGAUCGGCCAACUCCGGGCCAGCAGCCGCGGUAAUACGGAGGAUCCGAUCGUUAUCCGGAUUUAUUGGGUUUAAAGGGAGCGUAGGUGGAUUGUUAAGUCAGUUGUGAAAGUUUGCGGCUCAACCGUAAAAUUGCAGUUGAAACUGGCAGUCUUGAGUACAGGAGAGGUGGGCGGAAUUCGUGGUGUAGCGGUGAAAUGCUUAGAUAUCACGAAGAACUCCGAUUGCGAAGGCAGUUCACUGGACUGCAACUGACACUGAGGCUCGAAAGUGUGGGUAUCAAACAGGAUUAGAUACCCCUGUAGUC